GUUUGAUCAUGGCUCAGGAUGAACGCUAGCGGCAGGCCUAAUACAUGCAAGUCGAACGGUGUCUUCGGACAUAGUGGCGCACGGGUGCGUAACACGUAUGCAACCUACCUUACAUUGGGGGAUAGCCUUUCGAAAGGGAGAUUAAUACCGCAUAAGACAGUAGCUGGGCAUCCAGCAGCUGUUAAAGAUUUAUCGAUGUAAGAUGGGCAUGCGACCAAUUAGUUAGUUGGCGAGGUAACGGCUCACCAAGACUAUGAUUGGUAGGGGAACUGAGAGGUCAAUCCCCCACACUGGCACUGAGAUACGGGCCAGACUCCUACGGGAGGCAGCAGUAGGGAAUAUUGGGCAAUGGACGCAAGUCUGACCCAGCCAUGCCGCGUGCAGGAUGAAGGCGUUAUGCGUCGUAAACUGCUUUUAUACAGGAAGAAACGACUCUUGCGAGAGGCAUUGACGGUACUGUAUGAAUAAGCACCGGCUAACUCCGUGCCAGCAGCCGCGGUAAUACGGAGGGUGCAAGCGUUGUCCGGAUUUAUUGGGUUUAAAGGGUGCGCAGGUGGUUUAUUAAGUCAGUGGUGAAAGACGGUCGCUCAACGAUUGCAGUGCCAUUGAAACUAGUAGACUUGAGUAAAGUAGAGGUGGGCGGAAUUGAUAGUGUAGCGGUGAAAUGCAUAGAUAUUAUCAAGAACUCCAAUUGCGUAGGCAGCUCACUUGGCUUUUACUGACACUCAUGCACGAAAGUGUGGGUAUCAAACAGGAUUAGAUACCCUGGUAGUCCACACUGUAAACGAUGAUAACUAGGUGUCGGCCGAAUCUGGUCGGUGCCACAGCGAAAGCGUUAAGUUAUCCACCUGGGGAGUACGCCGGCAACGGUGAAACUCAAAGGAAUUGACGGGGGUCCCGCACAGCGUGGAGCAUGUGGUUUAAUUCGAUG
RNAcentral lists this ribosomal RNA (931 nucleotides) under uncultured bacterium. RNAcentral describes it as "bacterial SSU rRNA". It matches the Rfam family "Bacterial small subunit ribosomal RNA", at positions 11 to 956 of the family's 1533-position model. The record is from RNAcentral.